GACAGAGGUGCCAAGCGUUAGGCGGAAUCACUGGGCUUAAAGCGUGUGUAGGCGGAAUGGUAAGUACCUUGUGAAAUCCCACGGCUCAACCGUGGAACUGCUCGGUAUACUGCUUUUCUUGAGCCACUUAGGGGCUGUCGGAACAAACGGUGGAGCGGUGAAAUGCGUAGAGAUGCGGAGGAACACCGAUGGCGAAGGCAGCCCCCUGGGCUGACACUGACGCUCAGGCACGAAAGCGUGGGGAGCAAACAGG
RNAcentral lists this ribosomal RNA (253 nucleotides) under uncultured bacterium. RNAcentral's name for it is "partial 16S ribosomal RNA". It matches the Rfam family "Bacterial small subunit ribosomal RNA", at positions 524 to 776 of the family's 1533-position model. The record is from RNAcentral.